Molecule: long non-coding RNA, 368 nt
Organism: Ipomoea nil (Japanese morning glory)
Lineage: Eukaryota; Viridiplantae; Streptophyta; Magnoliopsida; Solanales; Convolvulaceae
Exons: 2
Source: RefSeq, a predicted model, not a curated record
AGCUGCUGGUUAAAAUAAUGUUAUAAAUAUUUGAUUAUUAAAAUAUUUUCAUAGUAUUAUUAUACCCCGUAUUUAGUUAAAUAAUUAAAGGAGGAGGCAUCGGCUAUUGUUUGUAUUUACAGAAAUCUGAAACAAAAAUUGAAAAGGCAGAAGAAGAAGAUGAUCUUCUUCCUCAAUUUCCCUUUGCCAUUUUCAUCGUUUCUUUGUUAAAUUAGUUAUUGUUGGUUGAGUUGAGUUAGAACUUGGUGGAUCAAGAAAUAAAAGGAGAUGCUGGGGAAUAGGGAUUAAAGGGAAAGUUAUAGAGCACAAGUUUACAGAAACGGCAUGAUCUGAUGACAGUAAAGUAUUACAUCAUGAUUAACACAAAU